This is a long non-coding RNA of Prionailurus viverrinus (fishing cat), 267 nucleotides long. RefSeq lists it as uncharacterized. The transcript has 4 exons. NCBI's taxonomy places the organism in Eukaryota, Metazoa, Chordata, Mammalia, Carnivora, Felidae. The record is from RefSeq and is a predicted model, not a curated record.
GGUUCACAUCUGCAACUAAACUUCUCCCUAUCUGGAAAGGAUAAUAGAAUAAUGCUUGUAAAGCAGUUAGCAUCAUCCUUGGCAUGCUGAUGUAUGCACAGAAAGAAGUCUGGAAAGAUGUCCUCAGACAGAAGUAGCAGUCUCUUCUUGGGGGAAGGGAAGAGGGCGACAGGUCCAGGAGGACUUCUAGCCCCGGACGUCCAGCCCCCAGAGCUGUGAGAGGAGAGAGCAAGACAGAGCAUGAACGGGGGAGGGGCAGAGAGAGAG